UUUUAGGGUUAGGGUUAGGGUUUUAGGGCUAGGGUUAGGGUUUUAGAGUUAGGGUUUUAGGGUUAGAGUUACGGAAAAAGUGAAAAACGAAGAAAUUGGAGGAGGAGGGGGAGGGAGCAAAAAAAGUAUUUCCGAAAAUAGUAGAUGAAAAGCAGGGGAAAAAACUAAAAGCAGUAGAAAUGCACGAACGAUUGUGGUGGUGCCAUGAAGUAAACAUGCUUCAGAUACACUCGUUUAUUCAUACAAACGUAACUGAGAUGAAAUAUG
Octopus sinensis (East Asian common octopus) is the source of this 267-nucleotide long non-coding RNA. RefSeq lists it as uncharacterized. Lineage: Eukaryota; Metazoa; Mollusca; Cephalopoda; Octopoda; Octopodidae. The record is from RefSeq and is a predicted model, not a curated record. The transcript is spliced from 3 exons.